Molecule: ribosomal RNA, 459 nt
Filed under: uncultured Opitutus sp.
Lineage: Bacteria; Pseudomonadati; Verrucomicrobiota; Opitutia; Opitutales; Opitutaceae
Description: bacterial SSU rRNA
Rfam family: Bacterial small subunit ribosomal RNA
Source: RNAcentral
GCACAAGCGGUGGAGCAUGUGGCUCAAUUCGAUGCAACGCGAAGAACCUUACCAGGCCUUGACAUGCACUAGACAGACGCUGAAAGGCGUUCUCCCUUCGGGGCUGGUGCACAGGUGCUGCAUGGCUGUCGUCAGCUCGUGUCGUGAGAUGUUGCGUUAAGUCGCGCAACGAGCGCAACCCCUGUCCUUAGUUGCCAUCAGGUAAAGCUGGGCACUCUAGGGAGACAAACCCUCUCUGAGGGUGGGAAGGUGGGGAUGACGUCAAGUCAGGAUGGCCCUUACGGCCUGGGCUGCACACGUGCUACAAUGCCCGGUACAGAGGGACGCAAGACCGCGAGGUGGAGCAAAUCCCAAAAACCGGGCCCAGUUCAGAUUGCAGUCUGCAACUCGACUGCAUGAAGCCGGAAUCGCUAGUAAUGGCGUAUCAGCUACGACGCCGUGAAUACGUUCCCGGGCCUU